RNAcentral lists this ribosomal RNA (844 nucleotides) under uncultured Chloroflexota bacterium. Its description in RNAcentral is "bacterial SSU rRNA". It matches the Rfam family "Bacterial small subunit ribosomal RNA", at positions 527 to 1382 of the family's 1533-position model. The record is from RNAcentral. Lineage: Bacteria; Bacillati; Chloroflexota.
GUAGGAGGCAAACGUUAUCCGGAUUUACUGGGCGUAAAGCGCGUGUAGGUGGUACUGUAAGUAGGGCGUGAAAGCUCCUGGCUCAACUGGGAGAGGCCGUUCUAAACUACAGGACUAGAGGAUGGUAGAGGGAGGUGGAAUUCCAGGUGUAGCGGUGGAAUGCGCAGAUAUCUGGAGGAACACCGGUGGCGAAGGCGGCCUCCUGGACCAUUCCUGACACUCAGACGCGAAAGCUAGGGUAGCAAACGGGAUUAGAGACCCCGGUAGUCCUAGCCCUAAACGAUGUAGACUAGGCGUCGGAAGCUUAAUCGCUUUCGGUGUCCAAGCUAACGCGAUAAGUCUACCGCCUGGGGACUACGGCCGCAAGGUUAAAACUCAAAGGAAUUGACGGGUCCCCGCACAAGCAGCGGAGCGUGUGGUUUAAUUCGUUGCUACACGAAGAACCUUACCUGGGUUUGACAUAGCAGUGGUAGGGAAGCGAAAGCGGACCGACCCUUCGGGGAGCUGUUACAGGUGUUGCAUGGCUGUCGUCAGCUCGUGUCGUGAGAUGUUCGGUUAAGUCCGCUAACGAGCGCAACCCGCGUUGUGUGUUACAAGUGUCACACAAUACCGCCGGUAUUAAGUCGGAGGAAGGUGCGGAUGACGUCAAGUCAGCAUGACCUUUAUAUCCAGGGCUACACACACGCUACAAUGGUCAGCACAAUAGGUUGCCAAGUCGUGAGACGGAGCCAAUCCUCCAAAGCUGGCCUCAGUUCAGAUUGCAGGCUGCAACUCGCCUGCAUGAAGUUGGAGUUGCUAGUAACCGCAGGUCAGCUAUACUGCGGUGAAUACGUUCCCGGGGAUU